GGGGAUAUAGCUCAGUUGGGAGAGCGAUACGUUCGCAACGUAUAGGUCAGGGGUUCGAGUCCCCUUAUCUCCA
RNAcentral lists this transfer RNA (73 nucleotides) under Planctomycetota bacterium. RNAcentral describes it as "Planctomycetes bacterium (subsurface metagenome) tRNA-Ala". It matches the Rfam family "tRNA". From Rfam's summary of the family: Transfer RNA (tRNA) molecules are approximately 80 nucleotides in length. Their secondary structure includes four short double-helical elements and three loops (D, anti-codon, and T loops). Further hydrogen bonds mediate the characteristic L-shaped molecular structure. tRNAs have two regions of fundamental functional importance: the anti-codon, which is responsible for specific mRNA codon recognition, and the 3' end, to which the tRNAs corresponding amino acid is attached (by aminoacyl-tRNA synthetases). tRNAs cope with the degeneracy of the genetic code in two manners: having more than one tRNA (with a specific anti-codon) for a particular amino acid; and 'wobble' base-pairing, i.e. permitting non-standard base-pairing at the 3rd anti-codon position. Lineage: Bacteria; Pseudomonadati; Planctomycetota. The record is from RNAcentral.